GGAUGGGGCUUGGCCCGCAAGAACACCACCUGCGGGGACAAAAUCAGCAGAAGGUAGCAGGGAAAGGGGCUGGAACACGCAACUGCUUCUGCUGCUGGUUGUAAUGCUGCUGCUGCAGACAGGGAGAAGGUAGAGAGUGCACCAUGAGGGCCACUUUGGAGUGGUGGGAUUCAUGUUAAUAAUGUGAAGUAAUUUAUCCGCCUUUUUUUUUUCCAUCAUCCCCUGGAUCAUCUGAUGCCUCUUCAUCUUUGCUUGCUCUCUGUCCCCGCCCAUUGCUAGGCUGUGCUGCCCACUCUUGUUCUCUCCUGGUAGUGGAGGAGUUUGCUUCGUAACAGGCUGAAAAAGCCUUCAUUUCUUUGAGUACAUUUUCAUUUCCCAUAACAGUAUGGAUAUGGUUUUGGAGUUGAGAAAUAAGUUCUCCGUGCAGUUUUUCCGCUCUCUUCCCCUUCCUGUUUUUAAUGUAGUAGUGUUCUACUUCUUUCUCUAAGACCUUCAUGAUGUUAGUUGGCCCAAAGCUUUGUUGGCUCUUUUCCUUAAAAUAGUACCACCAUGGAGAAAUGGUCUACAGGAGAAAAAUGAAGACAGUGAUGAGAAUGGAAAAUAAUGCAGAAACCUGGAAGUCUGGAAGUACCAGGGCAGAAACGGAUGGAUGAGUCGUUACUGACACAGGCCCCCCAACUCCUUUCUGCGUGGCUUUCUGCUGAGCAGUCCCUGGGCAGAGCAGUGGAGGACUUGGAGCUCUGGUCUGUCUAUCACCAGGUAUCUUGA
This 768-nucleotide long non-coding RNA is filed under the name Struthio camelus australis. RNAcentral's name for it is "lncRNA (ENSSCUG00000014230.1)". The record is from RNAcentral. Lineage: Eukaryota; Metazoa; Chordata; Aves; Struthioniformes; Struthionidae.